Molecule: RNA transcript, 8203 nt
Organism: Sphaeramia orbicularis (orbiculate cardinalfish)
Lineage: Eukaryota; Metazoa; Chordata; Actinopteri; Kurtiformes; Apogonidae
Gene: rimbp2b
Gene name: RIMS binding protein 2b
Exons: 25
Source: RefSeq, a predicted model, not a curated record
GUCUGAGUAUGCCCAGCUCAAAGAAGCACUUUGUGCUGUGACGCAGGAGAGAGAUUUAGCCCUGUGGGAGAGGAACCAGCUCCAAGGCAAACUGGAGAACUUAGAGCAGGUGCUUAAGUGUCGUGUUGGGAAGUCUGACCAGGAGCUGUGAAAGAGUAGAAGCUUGGAGCAGUCUGCCCCACCCCUUCCCUUACUAUUCCUCCUUUUAAUGUGUACCGACUCACCCUGACCUGACCCUUCCCACCUCCCCUUGUCCCUUCUCUCCCUGCUAGAAUUAUAAGGUAUCAUCCAUCUGUUAGGGAACAGUCCUAUUCAGUCCCAUUCUGAAUGCUUUCUGUCCACCUCAGUGGCUGUGCUUACUUUUCCCUUUAUCCCUGGGCUGCUUACCAGACAUACACCUGGCCUAGUCACCUGGCUAUAAGACCACAGCACUGUGGAAUGUGAUUUUUGCAUGAGGCAGGACAAAGAGUUUGGCUUCAUGAUGACGGGAGGGGAAGGAAGAGGAGAUAGAGACACUGGGUCAUCUCUCGCGAUGAUAAUGUCACCUACAAGUUUGAUGACAUUACCUAUCCUGGACCUUAAUUUUUACUGGCACGGAAAUGUCAUCUGCUUCUUUCACCUUACAGUGUUGCAAAUAUUCACAUUAAGUAGGAGUAAUAAUAUGGCUGGAUCACAUGGGCGUUGUGCACUGUGAAGAGCCCAGCAUUCAGUCUGUUGUAUUGUAUGGCUUCCUUUGUUGUUAUGGAUGACCACAGACAAGUGAGCACGCUACGGAGUUUGCUCACCCUUUUCAUGUAACUUAAAACCCUGUAUUGAUCAUGCAAAGACAACAUCGCUGAGGACAGCUUAUCAAACAGUACCAGUAACAAGACUUCUAACAGGUAUUGUGUUACCUAAAGGGGGCAGCAAACGUGGAUUGUUGUCGUUUUUUCACACAGCAAAGCAUCUCUAGUCCUCAUCCAUAAGCACCUCCGUGCACAAUUUGAUCUGAUCUGUGGAUCAUGUGACAUAAACUGUUCUCACAUGGCAUUUUCUGUGACUUAGUUUAUGUCUUUCUUGUAUUAAGGGUUUUAAAGUCAGUACACUGUUAUCGGGGCUGUGUUUGUGGGAUGUGUGUGCACAUGUAACACCUGUGUUUUGUCUGAAUGUGGAAUAGAAGACUGGAGAUGCAAUUUGUGUUCACUCAGUGCCGCUGGAUUUAGUUCCACUAACAGCAGCCCUCUCUAUGCUCCCCCACAAUCCUCCCCCCUCGGCUCUCCAUCCCUGCCCCCCUGCGGACAGCAUAUGCGCGAGGCUGCGGAGCGGAGGCAGCAGCUAGAGUUGGAGCAUGAGCAGGCCUUGGCUGUACUCAAUGCAAAGCAGCAGGAGAUUGACCUUCUUCAGAAGGCUCAGGUUGAGGCUAAAAAGGAACAUGAGGGUGCUGUCCAUCUGUUAGAGAACCACUUGGACAGCAUGCAGGCCAAAGUCCGUGAGCUGGAGGAAAAAUGUCGGUCUCAGAGUGAGCAGUUCAACCUCUUGUCAAAAGAGCUGGAGAAGUUCCGGCUCCAGGCUGGAAAGUUUGACAUCCUCAGCACCGAACCUCUAACUCUAUGUGAAUCACCUGGAUCACCCAACAAAUCCCUGUCCCAGCUUCUUAAUGGACUGGCUGCCCCCAUAGGAAAAGGCAAUGAGGCCCAGACGAGCAGAUCCUUGAUAUCUGAGUUCAUUCGGCCGCUCCAGAUCAGUGGAGACAAGCCCGAGCUCCUCUCUGUCAAGCCAACAUUCCUCACUCGCGGCCGAGCCAGCAGCCCAGCACGGGCUUUCCUGUCUGAGAUGGACAAAGAACUUCGCUCAACCACCAGGUCCAAGCCGAGGUUCACAGGGAAAGUUCGUCUGUGUAUUGCUCGAUAUAGCUACAAUCCUUAUGAUGGGCCCAAUGAGCAUCCUGAGGCAGAGCUCCCUCUGGUGGCUGGGAAGUACCUCUACAUUUAUGGGACAAUGGACGAGGAUGGCUUUUAUGAAGGAGAGCUGCUGGAUGGACAACGGGGGCUUGUUCCCUCCAAUUUUGUGGAUUUUGUCCAAGAUGAGGAGACAUCUUCUGUCAAACACAGGGACACAGUGACUAAAGAACCUGGCUACCUCAACCACAGUAGCCUGGGGCCUCAGAGACUGGGGGUGGGGACGGUAACAGGAACAAGCAUAAGCAGCCUGCUCUCUGAUAGUAAACUAGACUGCCUAAGCACCAGCAGCUUGGGCAUGGACCUCCUGGGCUCCUCCAGCAAUGGCACAGGAACCUUAGAUGUUAACAUUGACGAGGUUGGUGAAGACAUUGUGCCUUAUCCCCGCCGCAUCAACCUAAUUAAACAACUGGCCAAGAGUGUGAUUAUUGGCUGGGAUCCUCCUGUGGUCCCACCGGGCUGGGGCUCCAUCAGUGGCUACAAUGUCUUGGUGGAUAAAGAGGUGCGCAUGAGUGUCCCAUAUGGGGGCAGGACAAAGUCUCUUAUUGAAAAGCUCAACCUAGCCACCAACACCUAUCGAAUCUCAGUGCAGAGCAUCACGGACCGGGGCCCGUCAGACGAGCUGCGAUGCACUCUGCUCGUGGGUAAAGACGUAGUGGUGGCACCUUACUAUCUGCGGGUGGACAACAUCACACAGGUUUCUGCUGAGCUCUCUUGGAUGCCCAGCAACAGCAACUACAGUCACACCAUCUUCCUCAACGGUGCAGAGUAUGACAUGGUGAAGGCCGGAGGCUACAAGUAUAAGUUCUUCAACUUGAAGUCCAUGACAGUUUACAAGGUGAAGGUUGUGGCGCAGCCGCAUCAGGUGCCUUGGCAGCUUCCGAUGGAGCAGAGGGACAAGAGGGAAAUUUCUGUGGAGUUCUGCACUCAGCCUACAGGUCCCCCUCUACCCCCUCAAGAGGUGCAGGUCCAGUGUGGUCAGACACCUGGGGUCCUGCAGGUCAGAUGGAAGCCGCCACCUCUGACGCCUUCAGGAACCUCUAAUGGGGCCAGUGUGAUUGGCUAUGCUGUGUGCACAAAAGGACAAAAGAUAGCAGAAGUCUUGUACCCCACAGCAGACUAUGUGACCGUGGAAUUAAACAGGAUUCAUUGUCUGGAGGCCAGGGAAGUCAUUGUAAGGACGUUAUCGACACAGGGAGAGUCUCAAGACUCACCAGUGGCCAUCAUCCCGCACAAUCUGUUGGGCUCUCCACGCCUGUCACAUCGAACCACUGCACCACCCCACCCUAUACCCCACCCACAGACCCAUCCGGUACAUUCACAGACUCAUCCCCCUUACCCAUCAACGUACCCCCCAAAUCACCCUCAGCCCCAAGUUCAGCCUCUGCCUCGAGCCCAGCCCCACACACUGCCCCACGCACAGCCGCACUCUCAGCCCAUUCAUCACCCGCCUCCCCAUCCCCAGUCUCAUUUCCAGCGUCACCCCAUACCUAAGUCCAAACCAUUAGUAAGUGCCAGAGAGCCAGAAACCAAAGAGCAUGAGGUGGGCCUGCGGCCAAGCCAGCCCUGGGAACGUUCCCCCUCUCCGUUGCCUCCCAUGCGUGGACCCAACCUCGAGCCGCCGCACUUCCAACCACGCCGCUCGCCCUCUCCACAGAGGAUCCUGCCACAGCCUCAGGGAGUCCCUAUUCCCAACACCAUCGCCAAGGCCAUGGCCAGGGAAGCUGCCCAGCGGGUGUUCGCUGAGGGUAACCGGUCAUAUCAGGUUGAGAAGAGGAACAUCUUUAGUGAUCGGGGAAAUGCCCUACAUCCACUUAACUCUGAUGAGGAAGAGGAUGGCUACGACUCCCCUCAUGCAAGGAGGAGAGGAGCCUCGGUGGAUGAAUUCCUUCGAGGCUCAGAGCUGGGCAGACAGCACCAUCAUCACCACUACAGUCACAGUGAGGAGUACCACACAGAGAGCAGCCGGGGCUCUGACCUGUCUGACAUAAUGGAGGAGGAUGAGGAAGACCUCUACUCUGAGAUGCAACUGGAGGAAGGCCGCAGGAGAAGCAUCAACUCUCACAACACUCUCAAGGCAUAUUACAAGCGUCAGGACUUAGCUGAGGAAAGAGACUGCUGGGACCUCCAGAGGGAGGUGGUGAAGCAGAAGUCGCUCCGCAGUAAACGCCUCCACAGUAUCCCAGAGGUGGCGGAGGAGGAGUCGGACAGUGUGGACAGCAUGGGCCAGCGCCUGAGCUUUGAAGAGGGUGGGCGACCAGGAACACCACACACUCAGAGGAGGAUGUAUUCCCAGGACAGCCACAUGCACAACCACCUCACACCCAACAAAAACUCACGCCUCCUGCAGCGUCAGCGCUCCUCCCCACGUUUCACCGACAGUCGCUACUGCUACAACACGGAGGACUGCAGCUUGGGCCGACCCAACCGGCAGAACACCAAGAGUCCUGACAGUGGUUUAGACUGUGGCAGUGAGGAAGAAGGCUCUCUAGGCAGGGGGCACCGUGGGUACUACGCACAUGGGAGCCCAAUGCGGGGGCCUGUCCGCAUCAUCCACUGUGAAGGUCCGGUUGAAAGACGGGCGUUGGCCAUGGGCCGCAAAAGAACUCUGACACGCCAAUGCAGCGUGGAGGAGGAGUUCUCUGAUGUGCCGAUGACUACAGCCAAGUCGGUACACACGGGUGACUUUAGGAACAGGGAACACUUUGGGCCUGGUCGGGAGGCCGGGCCACGAAACUACUCCAGGGAGGGGGCCCUGAGCGAGGGCAGGCUGAACGAACUGGACAGGGUCUAUUACAGUCCUCACAGGGAGGCUAGGGCCCAGUCUUUGUCCAGGCUCAACCGGGACCAGGCACUGAUCAUUGGGAACUCACCAUCACAUGGAAGCUCGGACCGUCUGGACCCCUCAGGGAGGAGGCCGGUUCACAUCGGCACCCCCCCUCAACGACGACCCAUCCCAUCCAUUGAGAUCACCAUGGACAGUAACAGUGAGGGGAGUGAGGGGAACCUCUCACCCGUCAAGGAGGAUGUUAACUAUGGCAGUGUAGCUCGGCGCAGGAUAUGGCGAUCUAUGUCCUCAGAGGAUCAAUAUGACGGCUAUGGCGGGCGCAGGCACGGGCGGGGGCGGCGUUCCCCGGAUUACUAUGAGGAGUCGGAGCAGGACGAGCUGACCCGCGUGUUUGUGGCUUUGUUUGACUACGACCCCCUGUCAAUGUCUCCAAACCCGGAUGCUGCUGAUGAGGAGCUGCCUUUCAAGGAGGGCCAGAUCAUCAAGGUGUUUGGAAAUAAAGACACAGAUGGCUUCUACAGGGCAGAGAUCCGGGACCGGGUGGGCCUGAUUCCAUGUAACAUGGUGUCUGAGAUCCAAACGGAGGAUGAUGAGAUGAUGGACCAGCUCCUCAAACAGGGCUUCCUCCCACUUAACACUCCUGUGGAGAAGUUAGUGAACUGCGACCGUUUCAAAGAUGGCCGCUCAAUAAAUCGCAGGUCCAGAAAGUCCAAGAGAGAGAGGAACAGGAGAAGUGGGCGUCAACACCCGAUGUCAACACGGCGAAUGGUGGCGCUGUACGACUACGACCCCAGAGAGAGCUCCCCAAAUGUUGAUGUAGAGUAUGAGGGCAGCAGACUGAAUGAGGAGGCUGAACUGACUUUCAGUGCCGGUGACGUCAUCACAGUUUUUGGUGAAAUAGAUGAAGAUGGCUUUUACUAUGGCGAGCUCAAUGGACACAAAGGACUUGUUCCUUCCAACUUUCUAGAAGAAGUGCCUGAUGAUGUAGAGGUUUUUCUCACUGACUCACCAUCUCGAUACCCCCAGGACACUCCAGCACGGAUAAAGACCAAAAGGAAGAAGAGUGUUCAUUUCACACCUUAAAGGCUCUGUUUCCGUCACGUAAGUGAGCAACUGAGGAUACCAAGAUUACGCUCCCCUCGUCUAAUGCAGAUGACAUGGGUGCCCCUUAGUUUCUGGUUCCAUUGGAAAAAUCGGGUCCGCCCAGAAGAGCAGCCUCUCCCACAGUGCGUCCACACAUCCCUGGCUCCGGCCCUGCCACCGUGGGGCCCGGCAGUCCCAUCAGGGCCCCACUGGACAUGUACUCCAAAAAGAGAAAGGGACUGCUCUCCAAAGGGAAGAAACUAUUGCAAAGACUUGGCGCUGUAAAAUAAUUCCUUGACAUAUUUGGAGAGUGUCAUCCACUCUUUAAAGUGAUGAAAAAAUAUCAGUUCACCAGAAAAAAUAUACAGUGGACAGGUGGCAUUUGUGAGCUUAGCAAAUGCUUUAUUCUUGUACAUCUAUUGUAUACUAGAAUAUUUGUAUUUUGUUAACAGUUAACUACAUAUUUUCAAUAAUACAUUUCAUAUUAUGGUCCUGAUGCCCCAUGGUGUCAGCUGAUUUAGUAUUGAGUAUCUUUCCUUCAAGUCUCUGGCUGGAGUUUUGCUGUAGACAGAGACGGGGCCCAGGUCCUUCUCCUGAUUGCACUUUUACAUCACGCGUCAAGAGUCUAAUGUCUCUGUGCACAGAGCGUAGAAUGUCACACACUGACGGCUCAGUUAGGCCUGGAAGUCCACCACUAAUGAAAAACACUCGUUAAACUUGUGUAGUCUCGCUGCGCAUCUGGCCGUCUCCAUCUCCGUCCCAAUCGACGGCGGCGAGUCUCAUGCAGUAAACCGGCAUGAGAGGUUUGCAUGCUGUACUUCAGCACAUUCCCUCUGGACCCCUUGAGAGCGUGUGCAAUGUGAUGGGCUCGGUACGGACCUAGGAGCAUGCAGUACUUUAAUACUACGUGGCUGACUUGCUGUGCAGUAUACUGUGACUAAUCAGCUACAUGCUGUUCUUCUGUCCUGUCUCUAUAGGUGUGCUAGAGACAUCCCCCUCUCAUCCCACAGCAAACAUGUCAGGCACAUAAAAAACAAGCACACACUGUACUUACUACAGGGUCUCCGCAGUUAAGUCAGCCUGCGACGUCCAGCAGAAUGGAAAUGCCUAGUAGAUCCAACCUCCAUGUAUUUGCCUUAUAAUUGCACAAUGGUUAGUACUUUGUCCAUUACAGCGUUCAGUUUCAUGCCUAUUAUUCAUUUCUAUCAAUAUGUCAUAAAACAUCACUUUCCAGAUGUUAUUCCUUACUUGUAAUGUGCAGGGUAUUGUGUGACUGUCGUGUUUACCAUAGGAUUUCAGCGUAUCCCUCCAAAUCUCCCGUCAAUAAGCCACAAAAAAUAUAUUAAUUGUAAAUUAAAUCAAUACUUCUAGAAUACAAAGGCAGGGGCGAACGGGAAAAUGAUGGCACUUUAAAAAGCCCUUGAAAUGAUUAUUUUUGAUGCCACACUGAUCCACAUCUGAUUACAACUACUGUACAAAAGGGAACACUGAAGGUAUUCAAAACAGAUGAAAUGUGACAGAGCAUCAGUAGGCACCCGUUUUACUGCAUUUUAAUCCCAACAUGCCACACUUUUUGGCUUCACUAGAAGACUUUUUUACAGUAGUUAACACAGACACAAAGCUACCUCUAUGUUACCCCUCUGUCCUACUAGUCCAAAAUCUAUUAGAUCCGAAAUAUGUUUAUUCCAGCCAAUCUGUCAUUGAUGCCUGUUCAGUGUGUCCCAGGUUAUGUUGGUGCAGGAUACAAGUACUGUAUAUCUAUAUAAUUAUCUACACCUUAAUGUAGAGUAGUGAAUGUAUGGAAUGUAUGAUGAAUUGAAAGCCAAUGUAUUUUCAAAGCUGCCCAAAAGGAUUGUGCUGAUGUCCGUCUGUGCGUGAAAACCUCCUCCUCACACCAUUCUGUUUUCCAUUUCAUCCUGUCAUGAAUUUACAAAUCCAGCGUAUUUUUUCUAUACACAACUGAGUUGAACUGAAACUGCCAAAAAAGAAUGUAUGCAAAACAUUCUGUAAUAUUUUCUGUACAAUUCUUGGCUGCACAGCCAUGUUAACUUAAACUGAUGUACAUCUUUUCCUAUUUAUGGACCAUGUCCUCAGACAUUGCUUCUAUUCAUUUCGAGUGACUGUUGCUCUUUUUGUACUUUGUCCAUUUGUAAAAUUGUUUUUAAAUGUUUAUACUUGAUUUUCAAACUGCCUUUUUUCUACAUUUAACUUUAUAAUCAAACAGUGCAAGCUUUCCCCAUGGUGUCUUGAAGACCGUAUUGUUUAAAAGUCUGCAAUUGUGUGCUAGCUUUAUGAUAAGAAUUAUCAGCCUAUAUUGAUGGUUACAAAUUAUUGUGUGGGUGUGCAUGUGCAAUCUUUUCUAAAAAAAAAACUAAAUAAAUUUGCUAUUUUGUAA